Molecule: long non-coding RNA, 801 nt
Filed under: Mus musculus (house mouse)
Lineage: Eukaryota; Metazoa; Chordata; Mammalia; Rodentia; Muridae
Description: predicted gene 7160
Source: RNAcentral
AAUGCUUGAUGGGUUCCAGCAGACUGAGGACGUGGGUUUGGGACUUUCGGACCACGGCGAGGUGAGCUUGGCCCGGAGCGGCAGAAGUGGGCGAGGUUCGCGUGGGAGGAGGGACAUCGACUUAGUUUUUCUUGAGAGAUCUGACCGUGCCGUGGCUGCAGACCAUCUUCGCGUCAGCCACCGCCCUGGAUCACGCCAAGUGGGUUCCCAGCCCCUGCCGCCUCGUGAACUCCGCCAAAGUCAGCCACGGGAGAUUACCAUAUUCUAAAACUUCACCUGGACCGUUGGUGUGAACGCUGGGACGAAGAUCCAGGAGUUAGGAUAAGACUGAAUUGAACCCUAAAUCAGCUUCCGUGAUAAAACCGAGAGAUGGAGAAUUACUCAGCACAUUUUAUAUUGAUAAAAAUAUAUGAGGCUGACUCCUUUGAGUUCAGGAAAUGGAACAUCUGAAUUUGGUGUACCCGUAGUCACUUGCAAAUCUUAGCUUCUCUGCUCCCGUGGCUUUGUGAAAGCUCCCCUCCUGGCAUAGAAGAUCUCCGUCCUCCCAUUAGCCCUAGCAGAGUCCUGACACUCUGUGAUGUUGGGUCCUGCUAUCUCCAGAAGGAAAUCACCUAUGUCUCCUAUGCCAGUCUACGGAGCACUUCUUUUUCUGAGCUACAGCAACAUUUGCCACCCAGUUCAGCAACUCUGCUUCCUCUUGAUUGUGUAUAAAUCUCAUCUCUUCCAAGCUAUCUACUUUUACUCCCAUUGUGCCUCUGUGUUAAGAAGACAUACUGAGUAAAGCUUGGUUUCUUAAAUUCA